This 138-nucleotide non-coding RNA is filed under the name Fukomys damarensis (Damara mole-rat). The record is from Rfam by way of RNAcentral. Lineage: Eukaryota; Metazoa; Chordata; Mammalia; Rodentia; Bathyergidae.
GCCAGGUGUGGUGGCGCACACCUGUAAUCCCAGCUCUUGGGAGGCUGAGGCAGGAGGAUCGCUGGGAGUUUGAGACUAGCCUGGGAUACAUAGUGAGUUCCAGGUCAGUCUCAACUACAUAGUGAGAUCCCGUCUCAA